GACGAACGCUGGCGGCGUGCUUAACACAUGCAAGUCGAACGGAAAGGCCCUGCUUUUGUGGGGUGCUCGAGUGGCGAACGGGUGAGUAACACGUGAGUAACCUGCCCUUGACUUUGGGAUAACUUCAGGAAACUGGGGCUAAUACCGGAUAGGAGCUCCUGCUGCAUGGUGGGGGUUGGAAAGUUUCGGCGGUUGGGGAUGGACUCGCGGCUUAUCAGCUUGUUGGUGGGGUAGUGGCUUACGAAGGCUUUGACGGGUAGCCGGCCUGAGAGGGUGACCGGCCACAUUGGGACUGGGAUACGGCCCAGACUCCUACGGGAGGCAGCAGUGGGGAAUAUUGCACAAUGGCGGAAGCCUGAUGCAGCAACGCCGCGUGCGGGAUGACGGCCUUCGGGUUGUAAACCGCUUUCGCCUGUGACGAAGCGUGAGUGACGGUAAUGGGUAAAGAAGCACCGGCUAACUACGUG
RNAcentral lists this ribosomal RNA (467 nucleotides) under uncultured bacterium. RNAcentral describes it as "partial 16S ribosomal RNA". It matches the Rfam family "Bacterial small subunit ribosomal RNA", at positions 28 to 507 of the family's 1533-position model. The record is from RNAcentral.